UACGAAGGGGGCUAGCGUUGCUCGGAAUCACUGGGCGUAAAGCGCACGUAGGCGGCUUUUUAAGUCAGGGGUGAAAUCCUGGAGCUCAACUCCAGAACUGCCUUUGAUACUGGGAAGCUUGAGUCCGGGAGAGGUGAGUGGGACUCCGAGUGUAGAGGUGAAAUUCGUAGAUAUUCGGAAGAACACCAGUGGCGAAGGCGGCUCACUGGCCCGGUACUGACGCUGAGGUGCGAAAGCGUGGGGAGCAAACAGG
RNAcentral lists this ribosomal RNA (253 nucleotides) under uncultured bacterium. RNAcentral describes it as "partial 16S ribosomal RNA". It matches the Rfam family "Bacterial small subunit ribosomal RNA", at positions 524 to 776 of the family's 1533-position model. The record is from RNAcentral.